This is a long non-coding RNA of Gadus macrocephalus (Pacific cod), 1129 nucleotides long. RefSeq lists it as uncharacterized. NCBI's taxonomy places the organism in Eukaryota, Metazoa, Chordata, Actinopteri, Gadiformes, Gadidae. The record is from RefSeq and is a predicted model, not a curated record. The transcript is spliced from 2 exons.
UUAUCACAUAACCAGAGGGGUGUUCCACGAACGGAGGUUUAACAAACACUGAGUUAACGCUGAACUCUAGGUUGAUUGACCCUGUGCCGACCAACCCAGAGUUUUCGGUUCCACAGCAGCGGUUAUGCAUUAGUUCAAUCAACUCGGGGUUGGUUAACACAGGGUUGUGCGCGUCCACGCCAAACUUAAAAAGACGUGAUGUAUGGAUCAUGGAAACCCUGAUCGAUAUGGCGAAACGGGCCGCUUAUUUCAAUGAAAUGGAACUCCAGGUUCUCCUGGAGAGCUAUGACGAGGAGAAGGACAUUAUCACAAGAAAAGGGAACGCUAAAACCUCUGGAACCCGGAGAACCAAAGCCUGGCAGCGGAUCGCUGACCGCGUAAAUGCGUUAGUUACACGUCAAAAGCAUGAUCCUUAAUAUUUGAGCCAUGAAUAUAUAAAUAUCCCAGUUAAGCAUUCUUAAAGAUCCUACCACAUAACCCCUUUCUUCUAAAACAACAUGUACUCCGAUUGCUUCCAAGCGGUCAGAGGAUCAAGUAUAAAAAUGAAGUAUAAAAAACAUACAAACUGGUAAGCUUUUCCCACCAUCGUAUUGGUAUAAAUUUAAAUAAGCCAUUUUUUUAAGCCAAUCGUGAAAAGGCCGACAGUCGGCAGACUGGAUCUGGCCCUCAAAUUGUCUUGACCCCGCCACCUGGAGGUACCUACCACCUCAGAGAGUCAUGGGCCAUACACACUGGUUGAAUGUAGGUUUUUGUGUUUUCUUGUAUUUUAGAUUUUUUUUGCCUUCGAAGUAACACAUGCAAACCGUGUGCUUGCCACAGCGCAUACUAGGCCUAUUCCAAAUGUUUCUUUUUUUGGUAACUGGGUAGAAAACCUAAAAGUGACAAUUCAUCAACUUCACAGAUCAAGAUGGAUCAGUGCUUGUAAUGAAGCCGCCGGCUACGAUCGAACAUUCUCCAGUGGAUGCAAGUCCGUUAGGACUAUUUUAUACUUUAUGUUGUAAAUGCCUCUCGGCAUAGUACUCAGACAAUAUUGCUCUUUGUAUGAUAGGAGGCCGAUACAAAUCUUGGAUGGGUCAUCUGAAACGACUGUGAUGUGCUCAGCAUCUCCAGCAUUAUAGCCUAGAUAAAA